This 464-nucleotide ribosomal RNA is filed under the name uncultured bacterium. Its description in RNAcentral is "bacterial SSU rRNA". It matches the Rfam family "Bacterial small subunit ribosomal RNA", at positions 28 to 500 of the family's 1533-position model. The record is from RNAcentral.
GAUGAACGCUGGCGGCGUGCUUAACACAUGCAAGUCGAACGGGAUCCAUCAGGCUUUGCUUGGUGGUGAGAGUGGCGAACGGGUGAGUAAUGCGUGACCGACCUGCCCCAUACACCGGAAUAGCUCCUGGAAACGGGUGGUAAUGCCGGAUGCUCCGACUCCUCGCAUGGGGUGUCGGGAAAGAUUUCAUCGGUAUGGGAUGGGGUCGCGUCCUAUCAGGUAGUCGGCGGGGUAACGGCCCACCGAGCCUACGACGGGUAGCCGGCCUGAGAGGGCGACCGGCCACAUUGGGACUGAGAUACGGCCCAGACUCCUACGGGAGGCAGCAGUGGGGAAUAUUGCACAAUGGGCGCAAGCCUGAUGCAGCGACGCCGCGUGCGGGAUGACGGCCUUCGGGUUGUAAACCGCUUUUGAUCGGGAGCAAGCCUUCGGGUGAGUGUACCUUUCGAAUAAGCACCGGCUAA